CACUAAGAAGCUUCCGCACAAGCACUAGCCUUUUAAGCUAGCGAGGGGCACGAGCCCCUUAGUGAU
This 66-nucleotide transfer RNA is filed under the name Bipes biporus. RNAcentral describes it as "tRNA-Lys". The record is from RNAcentral. Lineage: Eukaryota; Metazoa; Chordata; Lepidosauria; Squamata; Bipedidae.